RNAcentral lists this ribosomal RNA (467 nucleotides) under uncultured bacterium. RNAcentral describes it as "partial 16S ribosomal RNA". It matches the Rfam family "Bacterial small subunit ribosomal RNA", at positions 29 to 507 of the family's 1533-position model. The record is from RNAcentral.
ACGAACGCUGGCGGCGUGCUUCACACCUGCAAGUCGCACGGAAAGGCCCUGCUUUUGUGGGGUGCUCGAGUGGCGAACGGGUGAGUAACACGUGAGUAACCUGCCCUUGACUUUGGGAUAACUUCAGGAAACUGGGGCUAAUACCGGAUAGGAGCUCCUGCUGCAUGGUGGGGGUUGGAAAGUUUCGGCGGUUGGGGAUGGACUCGCGGCUUAUCAGCUUGUUGGUGGGGUAGUGGCUUACCAAGGCUUUGACGGGUAGCCGGCCUGAGAGGGUGACCGGCCACAUUGGGACUGAGAUACGGCCCAGACUCCUACGGGGGGCAGCGGUGGGGAAUAUUGCACAAUGGGCGGAAGCCUGAUGCAGCAACGCCGCGUGCGGGAUGACGGCCUUCGGGUUGUAAACCGCUUUCGCCUGUGACGAAGCGUGAGUGACGGUAAUGGGUAAAGAAGCACCGGCUAACUACGUG